Molecule: ribosomal RNA, 450 nt
Filed under: uncultured bacterium
Lineage: Bacteria
Description: bacterial SSU rRNA
Rfam family: Bacterial small subunit ribosomal RNA
Source: RNAcentral
AACGAACGCUGGCGGCAGGCCUAACACAUGCAAGUCGAGCGCCCCGCAAGGGGAGCGGCAGACGGGUGAGUAACGCGUGGGAACCUACCUAGUGGUGCGGAAUAGCCCAGGGAAACUUGGAGUAAUACCGCAUACGCCCGCAAGGGGAAAGAUUUAUCGCCAUUAGAUGGGCCCGCGUUGGAUUAGCUAGUUGGUGAGGUAAUGGCUCACCAAGGCGACGAUCCAUAGCUGGUCUGAGAGGAUGAUCAGCCACACUGGGACUGAGACACGGCCCAGACUCCUACGGGAGGCAGCAGUGGGGAAUAUUGGACAAUGGGCGCAAGCCUGAUCCAGCCAUGCCGCGUGAGUGACGAAGGUCUUCGGAUUGUAAAGCUCUUUUGGCGGGGACGAUAAUGACGGUACCCGCAGAAUAAGCCCCGGCUAACUUCGUGCCAGCCGCCGCCGUAACAC